Molecule: long non-coding RNA, 5117 nt
Filed under: Pogona vitticeps (central bearded dragon)
Lineage: Eukaryota; Metazoa; Chordata; Lepidosauria; Squamata; Agamidae
Description: lncRNA (ENSPVIG00000024947.1)
Source: RNAcentral
CUCCGCCGGCCGGCCGGUUCCCCCGCUGCCGGUACUCACUCACCCGGCUGCCCAGGCUCAUGGGGGAGAACGACGACGGCGGCGGCGAGGAGGAGGAGGAGGAGGAAGGCGAAAGCCUCGGCCUCGCCUCCUUCGCCUCCUGAGGGAAUGGCGAGGAAGAAGCGGGGAAACCGACGCGCCGACUCGGCCCGGCCUGGGCGCCCGCGGAAGAUUCUCUCGGCCCGGCCGCGGCCACGGCCAUGACUGGAAUCUUCACCAGUGCUUCCUCAAACUGCAAUCCUGUGAAUGUCUAUUCUGAACUGACUUUGAAAAUACUCUCGGGGAACAUUUUGUUGUUUGCACAGGAAAGCACUCAAACAAUCCUCAUUUGCCUAUGCCCUGGAAUCAGGGCUCCGGAUCCUUCUGCCACCGAGAAAGGUUGCGUCACGAUGAUGUCAUGGCUCCAGCUACUACGUUUUGACCUUGAACACCCUGUUUCAGGAACAGAGACAACACUCCCUCACACCCCAACACCCUUUUUUAAAAAAAACAAGAUGUGAUGAUCUUGGUGUGUGAUGGUGGGAAUCAAGGAGCAUUCUUAAAAAGUCACGCAAAUAUAUAUGCUUUUUGUAAUCCUGCCCAGUACGUCUUCCCAGUGCUUCAGUGCUGGUGGUGGGAUAGCUGUAAUGUUACAUACACCACUAUGCACAAUAUUUUCUAACCGCUUCUCACUCAGCCUUGAAUGUGCCUUGGCAGGUCCUACAAUUGAAAGGCCACCUGAAAGUGGAAACCAAUCCACCCUCCCCACCAUUAUAUUUCAUUAACAAAAUAAUCAGAAGUACAGCUUCUUUGCUCGCUACUAGCCUCAUUACUAUGACACCUUGCACGUAGGUAUGUGGAUUUUAAAGCCAUUUCCUAGGUUAUUUUACUCUGUUUUAUUAAAUAGCUGCAAAAGCAGGGUGCCUAUGUAUAGAGGAUGGUCUCUAUUUGAAAGCUCUUCCGUUCAAGUCUAGUUCAAAACUAAAAGCUACUAAAAGCCAAGAGAGGAAGGAUCUUGAUGUUACUCAUCACCACUUAGCCCCUGGACAGUAACAGAAUAAGCAAGCACCCAUGUCACCUAGCCAUGGUUUUCUCUCCAAAGGCCAGAUAUAGUGUUGUUGUUUUUAAAAUUUGAAUUCUAGUCAUUGUAUCUAAUGUUGCUUAGGUACUACAAAAUUAUCUUUAUUUUAUGAAAAGUUCUCUUCUCUCAUUCUCUCUCUCUCUUUUUGGUGAUGCACAAUUGGCAGUCCUAUUUCAAAACUGUAACAACUCCCCCCCCCCCAAUUUUUCCCUUAAUCCAUCUGCUUGUUCAGUUUGGGUGAGGGAGUCAGAAGGCAUAUAUCUACUUACCAUGGCUGCAGCCACCUUGCAGUGCCUUGAAUCUCAUGUUGGCUUCCUAAGAGGUUAAAAAAAAAAAGAAAUUAUCUGAAGGAUAAUUGACUUGCUGAAUUUUAAAACAAUCACCCAGCACAGAUGAAAAGGUCAAGCAGAAGACUGCUGGUCAAAAAUAGAAGUGAUCUGCAGAGGAGAGGAAAGUUCAACAGCUCUGACAGGAGCCCUGGCUCUACUACAGCUGCUCUACCAGCAAUAAUACUUCAUCCUGAUCUUUAAAUGAGGGGAGGGAGCCGGCCUUCAGCCGAUGUGUGGCUCUUCCCAAAGGCCCCGCCCAGUUCUUUCAAUGAAGCAAACUCACCAAUCCCCAAAGCCACUGGAAAUGAAUGGGUAGAAGCUGCAGGUUUCAAAACAGUCAGAGAUGCCGGGUGAGCUGCACCAAUCCAUCCAUGGCUAUUUAUUUUGCUAUGGGCUUUUCACUGAGAUGAAAUGAAACGCAGGGCAGGCAGCCUUUCUUGGACUCCGGUUUUCUUCAGCUCCAGCUCCCCAAACCCCCCAAGAUAGGACCUUUCCGAGCUCUGAUGGAGUCUCACUAACUAAGGGGAAAUGAGAUGUUUCUUUAGUUGUUAUCAUUUGCCCUAAAGUUUUCUGUGCUAACUUUCCCUAAAUUCCCUGGGAUUUUAGAGCCCAAAUUUGUGACCAGAGGAUGGGCUUUUGUGGAGUAACAGAGGGUGGGCGCUUGCCAUGCCAGCUGCAGCUGCCACUGUUCCUGCUGGGACUUACCAUUUCCACCAGGGCUGGCAUCCUGCAUGGCCUUGCCUACCUCAUCUUUUACACACAGGAGGUUUUUUUCAGACCCUCUCCUGUUGCUGGCGAUGGCAGAAAAUUCCUUCCUUAGCCAGGCCCGGCACCACUGCUGCUAGCAAGACUUCUUCAACAAGGUGGCUUGCAAGCUGCAAUGCUGGGGCUCCAUUCCCUGACUUGCUCCAAAUGGCAUGACCAGCCCAAAUGCUCACACGCACCACAGAUUUCUCCCCAGUCCCUUCCCCUCAUGUCUGGCUUUGCGCUGUGCCAACAUGAGCAAGCACAGCGCGCAUACUAACCCCUUUGCAAUAAGCGAGUGACUAAAAUCCUGUUGCACAGCUCUGCUGGCCCAGUGGUGAAGACAUCCUAAUCAGUUACAAAUCAUCACUGAUGAAAGGCAAGUCACUGCUAAUUAAAGAUUAUUUUGGGGCACAUGCGAGGAAAGGUGAUGGGGUUGGUGCCCAGGAUCCAAACCCCCCACUAACUCUGGGAUUUUCCCCCCCUACUUGGAAAGCUGGGAGAGCCUAGCCGUUGUCUGAGACUUCAGAUGUUGCUUUAAGAUCUGGCCCCUUUACGUCUAGAUGAUGGUGAAAUACUGUGCGCAGAGCUGCCUUUGAGAGGUAAUUUUGACAUACAGCUACUGCAGAACACAGUGUAAGCAAGUCCUAUACGUAUCUACCCCAACUGGUUUUUUACUUUCAUUUUCACCAGUGCAGCGUAUUGUUGGGUUGAUUUGAUUGUGGAUGUCAGCUUGACCUCCCCGACCCCGAAACACUUUUUCUUUUAAAACCUUAACACUCUUUUAAAAAUCAAAGGAGCCUUGCUCCUUCUCUGCUUCUCACUUCCAGUGUACGUGCUGCAUCAGAGUCAUGCUGUCCUCUCAGGUUGACGGCAUUUGCUACAGCACUUGGGCCUCUCUUCUGAACAUUGUGUUGUCCCACACAAGGACCGCUCCCCUUCCAACUGGUCUUCACAAUGAGUUGUUGUAACAAGCAAUUAAGGGGCUGUACACAGAACGCUGAGCCACUCCAGCAGGCCUUGAGAAAAGCUGCACACACAAAGCAAACAUGACCUCAAAGGAUUGCUUUAUCCAAAACAAGCCCUGUGGAAAACCCAUCUCACUCCAGCCAUCUCAGCUUCUUUUCUUUCUCGUGCCCCUUUUUAAAGCAGGGCAGCACAAUUUUCUCUUGGAAGAUCCCCACCUCCCCACUUGAAGGCCCGCCCAAUCCAAAACUGGUUCAGAGGUGAAGAGCCAGAAGGAGGGUGAUGAGAGACUGAAGUUGCCCAUCAUCCACCAUGAGCAGCACAGGUAGCAGCCAGUGUACACUGGUCAUCAGCUCCCAGACUUCUCCCCUUGAGUGACAUGCACUGUAACUCUGUUCAAAAAGGACCUUAAUUUCGUAGCUGUACACCUAUAUUUGCUUAUGCUGUUUUCUGCAGCUUAGUGCUCCCUUCUUCUCCAUUUUGGGAAGGUGUCAGAGACAACCCUAUUCUAUCCAGUAGAUUCAUGACCAAGUCCUAUCUGGGGAGAUGUGCUGCUAGGGCCUAGCCAGGCUGAUCUGUUCCCAUGCAUUCCCACUUAACACUCUGCUUGAUCUAGGUGCAGUCCUGAACCUGUAAUCACUGCUCCUCAAACCCAGCACCUUCCAGAGGAAAUGGGCUACAUGUCCAUGAGUGCAACUGGCAUGCAAGAUGGUUGGUUUAAUUCUAUGAGUUGUUCUCCUGCUUUGUUCCUGUCCCCUAGACCUGUAGCUCUCAACCUUGGAUAACCCAGAUGUUCUUGGACUGCAGCUUCCAGAAGCCUUUACCACUAGCUGUGCACCUGGGUUACCUCAGGUUGGGAACCACUGCCUUAGAUCAAAUUAUCUAAAAAUGCUUAUAAACAUAGCUGACUGGAAUGCAAAAGUAGGAAGCAAAGCCAAACCAAAUGUUAUUGGAAGACACAGCUAGCUAAUGGAAUACUUUAUACUCCACCCCAAACCCCAUUCCCUUCUGUAACAGGGAUUGCUAACCCCUCCAGGGCCACUGUACACCAUGGGGACAAGCUGUGAUUCGCAGGCAGAAGUCCAUAGGUGGUAUGUUCUCCUCACUCAUUAAAAGGGAUCACAUUACUUAUUGCAUUCCCUGCUUGUUACAUCUCUGACCCACAAAUGACCCACUUUUAAAAAUAGAUGUAACGUUUUCAUUGCAGCAACCAGAUGCUUGUGAUUAUGUUACAUAUGAUUUGUGUAGUAGGGAAACAUUAGAACAGAGGAUUCAUUCUUUUCCUUUUCAACAAAGUUGCCGUAGUUUACCAAAAACAUCUAACUCCAAAACAUGGUGGUUUCACUUUCUCUUUAUUCUGUUUUUUGCUAUUUGUUUGCAUAGUCAAGGGCAGUGGUUCCCAGCCUUGGGUCCUCAGAUGUUCUUGGGCUACAACUCCAGGAAACCCUGGCCAGCACAUUUAAUGGUGAAGACUUCUGGGAGUUUUGGUCCAGGAACCCAAGGUUGGGAACCACUGACCUAGGGGAAGGGGAUUAACUAACCCAUAAUCGGUGUGUAUCUUGGAAAUAUGGAGCUGCUAGAAUUUGAGCAGGGAUGCUAUACGCCUUCCCAGAGGAGGGAAGAGUAUGGCCAGUGGAGGAGGGGUGGGCUUGCUGGAGAGACGGGCCCGGCUGCUAACCAGCUCCCAGGCCUUCUCCCUGAUGUUUCUGAAAACCUUAGGCCACAUUCAGACAGGACAGCUCUUUGAACGGAGGAAGACUCCAAAGAGAGAACUGUCCGCUGUAAAGCAGAGCACACGGCCCCACUACCUGCACACGGGGUGUCAAGGGCUCCCAUUCCAUGGAGGUGUGACAAACCCAGACCUACUGGGAUAUGUCACACAGUUACACUAAGCUGCCACCAACCAUUCCCUUUAAGAAGUCACACAGACCAGGGAUGGAUUUUUAAACAAUAAAAAGAAUAAGGUUUAUUUAAAUACA